UGCAGCCUACUCACACACAAGUCAGGGAUUUAAUUCUGGGUCAACUCUAAGAAGGAAAAGCCAGGUUGACAAAAGUGGCAGGGGAACUACGUCAGUCAGUCAGUCAUAUUUAUUUAGCACUUACUGUGUGCAGAGCAUUUUACUAAGCGCUUGGGAGAGUUCAAUAGAACAAUAAACUGGCACAUUACCUGCCCACAGCGAGCUACCUGGGAAAACACAGGAGUGUCUAGAAUCAACUAGGAUGGAGGGACACACUGUGGAAGAGUUGGGAUGGAGCAACUGGGAG
RNAcentral lists this long non-coding RNA (286 nucleotides) under Ornithorhynchus anatinus (platypus). Its description in RNAcentral is "lncRNA (ENSOANG00000039926.1)". The record is from RNAcentral. Lineage: Eukaryota; Metazoa; Chordata; Mammalia; Monotremata; Ornithorhynchidae.